This 483-nucleotide ribosomal RNA is filed under the name uncultured bacterium. RNAcentral's name for it is "partial 16S ribosomal RNA". It matches the Rfam family "Bacterial small subunit ribosomal RNA", at positions 30 to 507 of the family's 1533-position model. The record is from RNAcentral.
AUUGAACGCUGGCGGCAGGCCUAACACAUGCAAGUCGAGCGGAUGAAGGGAGCUUGCUCCUGGAUUCAGCGGCGGACGGGUGAGUAAUGCCUAGGAAUCUGCCUGGUAGUGGGGGAUAACGUCCGGAAACGGGCACUAAUACCGCAUACGUCCUGAGGGAGAAAGUGGGGGAUCUUCGGACCUCACGCUAUCAGAUGAGCCUAGGUCGGAUUAGCUAGUUGGUGGGGUAAAGGCCUACCAAGGCGACGAUCCGUAACUGUCUGAGAGGAUGAUCAGUCACACUGGAACUGAGACACGGUCCAGACUCCUACGGGAGGCAGCAGUGGGGAAUAUUGGACAAUGGGCGAAAGCCUGAUCCAGCCAUGCCGCGUGUGUGAAGAAGGUCUUCGGAUUGUAAAGCACUUUAAGUUGGGAGGAAGGGCAGUAAGUUAAUACCUUGCUGUUUUGACGUUACCAACAGAAUAAGCACCGGCUAACUUCGUG